GUAACAAGGUUUCCGUAGGUGAACCUGCGGAAGGAUCAUUAAUGAUUAACUGUCUGUCGAGCUUGCUCACAGACUUAUCAUAUCCAUAACACCUGUGCACUUGUCGGAUGGCUUAGUGAAGACCGCAAGGUUGGAUCUAUCCAUCUACUUUACAUAACAAUUUAGUAACAAAUGUAGUCUUAUUAUAACAUAAUAAAACUUUCAACAACGGAUCUCUUGGCUCUCGCAUCGAUGAAGAACGCAGCGAAAUGCGAUAAGUAAUGUGAAUUGCAGAAUUCAGUGAAUCAUCGAAUCUUUGAACGCACCUUGCGCUCCCUGGUAUUCCGGGGAGCAUGCCUGUUUGAGUGUCAUGAAAACCCUCAACCUUAGAUUGGUUAACACCUUUCUUUGGCUUGGAUUUGGACGUUUGCCGAUGAUAAGUCGGCUCGUCUUAAAAGUAAUAGCUGGAUCUGUCUCGCGACAUGGUUUGACUUGGCGUAAUAAGUAUUUCGCUAAGGACAUCUUCGGAUGGCCGCGUUGCAAGACUAAAGACCGCUUUCUAAUCCAUUGAUCUUCGGAUUAAUAUUCUUGACAUCUGGCCUCAAAUCAGGUAGGACUACCCGCUGAACUUAAGCAUAUCAAU
Molecule: unclassified non-coding RNA, 622 nt
Filed under: Naganishia diffluens
Lineage: Eukaryota; Fungi; Basidiomycota; Tremellomycetes; Filobasidiales; Filobasidiaceae
Description: sequence contains 18S rRNA gene, ITS1, 5.8S rRNA gene, ITS2, 28S rRNA gene
Rfam family: 5.8S ribosomal RNA (bases 197-350)
Source: RNAcentral